GACGAACGCUGGCGGCGUGCUUAACACAUGCAAGUCGAACGAUGAACCCGGAGCUUGCUCUGGGGGAUUAGUGGCGAACGGGUGAGUAACACGUGAGUAACCUGCCCUGGACUCUGGGAUAAGCGUUGGAAACGACGUCAAAUACCGGAUAGGACCUUGGAUCGCAUGAUCUGGGGUGGAAAGUUUUUUCGGUCUGGGAUGGACUCGCGGCCUAUCAGCUUGUUGGUGAGGUAAUGGCUCACCAAGGCGUCGACGGGUAGCCGGCCUGAGAGGGUGACCGGCCACACUGGGACUGAGACACGGCCCAGACUCCUACGGGAGGCAGCAGUGGGGAAUAUUGCACAAUGGGCGAAAGCCUGAUGCAGCAACGCCGCGUGCGGGAUGACGGCCUUCGGGUUGUAAACCGCUUUUAGUAGGGAAGAAGGGCUUCGGCUUGACGGUACCUGCAGAAAAAGGACCGGCUAACUACGUG
RNAcentral lists this ribosomal RNA (472 nucleotides) under uncultured bacterium. Its description in RNAcentral is "partial 16S ribosomal RNA". It matches the Rfam family "Bacterial small subunit ribosomal RNA", at positions 28 to 507 of the family's 1533-position model. The record is from RNAcentral.